CCACCCCCACCCUGCCACAGCUUCGGGACGACUGGAUCGCCGCGCCUGGGCCGGAGCGAGCCAUCUGCGGGCACUAUGCAAAGCGGGAGACGGCGCGAGCGGCGCCCGGCUCACACUAGCUCUUCCAGGACGCAGAUGGCAAGCAUCUCCUAAAGAAACCGCUGGUCAGACCAAUGAAACCACAGGACAAAGAGUUCUCUUCAAAAGGGAACAACAAGAAGGAGAGAAAAAAAAAAAAGACAACAUUCCUAGUGAUCUUUCCGUGGGAAUGCGGCAAGGAGUCAGCAGGCAUAGUGAAAAUGGGCGGCGAUGGAUACUCCCAGCACUUGCUGAGCACUGCUACGCCUCAGGACUGGGACAGGGACUUAACUGGAAAACCUUUACACAUAAACACUGUUUUGCAAAAGGCACAUUUCUCUAAGCCUCUGUCUCUGGACACUUGUCACGUGGACCUGGCCCCUCUCAUUUUCGGUGCUCUUGAGGACUCCCACGCCUUGUAAGGACUGGCCAUUCUGUCCUGAAUGUGAAUUAUGGGGAGGGGCAAGCUAAAGUGACCCAAAGGAAAAGAAGAAAAAGGCAUGUGUGUAGGUUCACCCUGGCUCUAAAUUGCUUACCGUUAAGUCUUGAGCCAGCUCCUGACGGAAAGAUAAGAGAGAACCAUUCUCUGCUUUCAAUAGGACAGAAGAGCUCCUUGGCACUGGAUGCCUCCGGGUCUGGUUGAGAGAGGAAUGGUUAGGAGACUGUUCUGAGGAUACGCAGACAUCAUCCAAAGCUUCCUACAUUCAGAUGAGGACAGAGGUUGGG
RNAcentral lists this long non-coding RNA (804 nucleotides) under Homo sapiens (human). Its description in RNAcentral is "non-protein coding PROX1-AS1:72". The record is from RNAcentral. Lineage: Eukaryota; Metazoa; Chordata; Mammalia; Primates; Hominidae.